UGACUCUGGGGACUCUGUUCUUGACCACUGCUUGAUAAAACCAGGUGACAGUAGGCAGCACAGCUGGGCAAAGGUUAUUCUUUCAUCAUUUACUGAGUGCCUGACAUGGACUAGGCCAUAAAAAUCCGUACAAGACACAGAUCUUCUUGAGGCUCAGAGUCUUUUGAAGGCGACAAAUGUACUCUCUUGCCCUUCUGCCAUGGGAUAAUGGAACACAAGGCCCUCGCUGGAUGCUGGUGCCAUGCUCUUGCUCUUCCCAGCCUCCAGAACCAUGAACCAAAUAAAUUUCUUUUCUUUAUUAA
Pan troglodytes (chimpanzee) is the source of this 302-nucleotide long non-coding RNA. RefSeq lists it as uncharacterized. The record is from RefSeq and is a predicted model, not a curated record. Lineage: Eukaryota; Metazoa; Chordata; Mammalia; Primates; Hominidae. The transcript is spliced from 2 exons.